UGGGGAAUAUUGCACAAUGGGGGAAACCCUGAUGCAGUGACGCCGCGUGAACGAAGAAGGUAUUCGUAUCGUAAAGUUCUGUCCUAUGGGAAGAUAAUGACAGUACCAUAGAAGAAAGCUCCGGCUAAAUACGUGCCAGCAGCCGCGGUAAUACGUAUGGAGCGAGCGUUGUCCGGAAUUAUUGGGCGUAAAGGGUACGCAGGCGGUUUAAUAAGUCGAAUGUUAAAGAUCGGGGCUCAACCCCGCAAAGCAUUGGAAACUGAUAAACUUGAGUAGUGGAGAGGAAAGUGGAAUUCCUAGUGUAGUGGUGAAAUACGUAGAUAUUAGGAGGAAUACCAGUAGCGAAGGCGACUUUCUGGACACAAACUGACGCUGAGGUACGAAAGCGUGGGGAGCAAACAGG
This 403-nucleotide ribosomal RNA is filed under the name bacterium. RNAcentral describes it as "partial 16S ribosomal RNA". It matches the Rfam family "Bacterial small subunit ribosomal RNA", at positions 355 to 776 of the family's 1533-position model. The record is from RNAcentral.